UGUGACUUACCUAUACGUUGCUUCGGCGGGAAUAGACGGCCCCGUAAAACGGGCCGCCCCCGCCAGAGGACCCUUAACUCUGUUUCUAUAAUGUUUCUUCUGAGUAAAACAAGCAAAUAAAUUAAAACUUUCAACAACGGAUCUCUUGGCUCUGGCAUCGAUGAAGAACGCAGCGAAAUGCGAUAAGUAAUGUGAAUUGCAGAAUUCAGUGAAUCAUCGAAUCUUUGAACGCACAUUGCGCCCGCCAGUAUUCUGGCGGGCAUGCCUGUUCGAGCGUCAUUACAACCCUCAGGCCCCCGGGCCUGGCGUUGGGGAUCGGCGGAGCCCCCCGCGGGCACACGCCGUCCCCCAAAUACAGUGGCGGUCCCGCCGCAGCUUCCAUCGCGUAGUAGCUUUCACCUCGCGACUGGAGAGCGGCGCGGCCACGCCGUAAAACACCCAGCUCUUCUGAACUUGACCUCGAAUCAGGUAGGAAUACCCGCUGAACUUAAGCAUAUCAAUAAGCGGGAGGAA
Molecule: ribosomal RNA, 513 nt
Filed under: Fusarium solani
Lineage: Eukaryota; Fungi; Ascomycota; Sordariomycetes; Hypocreales; Nectriaceae
Description: eukaryotic LSU rRNA
Rfam family: 5.8S ribosomal RNA (bases 126-279)
Source: RNAcentral